RNAcentral lists this ribosomal RNA (481 nucleotides) under uncultured bacterium. RNAcentral's name for it is "bacterial SSU rRNA". It matches the Rfam family "Bacterial small subunit ribosomal RNA", at positions 29 to 533 of the family's 1533-position model. The record is from RNAcentral.
AGCGAACGCUAGCGGCGGGCUUAACACAUGCAAGUCGAGCGCCUUACUUCGGUAAGGAGCGGCGGACGGGUGAGUAACACGUAGGUUACCUGCCCCCGGGUGAGGGACAACCGAGGGAAACCUCGGCUAAUACCACAUAUGGUCUACGGAUCAAAGGCUUCGGCCGCCUGGGGAUGGGCCUGCGUCCCAUUAUUUAAUCCUUGUUGGUGGGGUAACGGCCUACCAAGGGUACGAUGGGUAGCUGGUCUGAGAGGAUGAUCAGCCACACUGGAACUGAGACACGGUCCAGACUCCUACGGGAGGCAGCAGUGGGGAAUAUUGCGCAAUGGGCGAAAGCCUGACGCAGCCACGCCGCGUGAGUGAUGAAGGCCCCAGGGUCGUAAAGCUCUGUCGGGGGGAAGAAGUUCUGACGGUACCCCCAACGAAAGACACCGGCGUAACUACCGUCGCCACGCACGCCGCCGGUAAAGGUACGUACGAU